RNAcentral lists this ribosomal RNA (253 nucleotides) under uncultured bacterium. RNAcentral describes it as "partial 16S ribosomal RNA". It matches the Rfam family "Bacterial small subunit ribosomal RNA", at positions 524 to 776 of the family's 1533-position model. The record is from RNAcentral.
UACGUAGGGUGCAAGCGUUAUCGGAAUUAUCGUGGCGUAAAGAGCUCGUAGGCGGUUUGUCGCGUCUGCUGUGAAAACUCGGGGCUCAACUCCGAGCUUGCAGUGGGUACGGGCAGACUAGAGUGCGGUAGGGGAGACUGGAAUUCCUGGUGUAGCGGUGGAAUGCGCAGAUAUCAGGAGGAACACCGGUGGCGAAGGCGGGUCUCUGGGCCGUAACUGACGCUGAGGAGCGAAAGCAUGGGGAGCGAACAGG